GGGGGCGUAGCUCAGCUGGGAGAGCGCUACAAUCGCACUGUAGAGGUCAGGGGUUCGAAUCCCCUCGCCUCCACCC
Molecule: transfer RNA, 76 nt
Filed under: Chloroflexota bacterium
Lineage: Bacteria; Bacillati; Chloroflexota
Description: Chloroflexi bacterium (wastewater metagenome) tRNA-Ala
Rfam family: tRNA
About the family: Transfer RNA (tRNA) molecules are approximately 80 nucleotides in length. Their secondary structure includes four short double-helical elements and three loops (D, anti-codon, and T loops). Further hydrogen bonds mediate the characteristic L-shaped molecular structure. tRNAs have two regions of fundamental functional importance: the anti-codon, which is responsible for specific mRNA codon recognition, and the 3' end, to which the tRNAs corresponding amino acid is attached (by aminoacyl-tRNA synthetases). tRNAs cope with the degeneracy of the genetic code in two manners: having more than one tRNA (with a specific anti-codon) for a particular amino acid; and 'wobble' base-pairing, i.e. permitting non-standard base-pairing at the 3rd anti-codon position.
Source: RNAcentral